Hydractinia symbiolongicarpus is the source of this 9328-nucleotide RNA transcript. RefSeq lists it as uncharacterized. NCBI's taxonomy places the organism in Eukaryota, Metazoa, Cnidaria, Hydrozoa, Anthoathecata, Hydractiniidae. The record is from RefSeq and is a predicted model, not a curated record. The transcript is spliced from 2 exons.
UUUUUUAUAUAGAAAUAUUGAACAAGGGCGGUUGCAACGCGAGACUAAGACAGAAAUGGCAGUAAUUUUAAGACUGCUGCAUGUUUCGACUUUACUAGCUGCAUGUUUAAUUUCUUUUUUAAAUAAACGUGUCUUAAGACUUCCCACACAAAAUAAAGAAAACAAAGUCACCUUUAUGAGCACUCACCCCCAACUUACCACCCUGAGAAACACCCUCCACCCCCUGCAAAAAUUUUUAGCAACACUUUCCCUCAACAAGUAGGCUUUCCCAGCCAUUAGGUCAUAUUUUUCAUACCAAUUUUGUAUUUUGGAAACCUGAUUUAAAGAAUUUUUGAAGGAAACAAUUUACUGUCAAAAAUAGUGAUAGCUACAGUGUGGUGGUUGCUGUGAUAAAAGAUAUAUUUAUGCUAUGUCUAUGACUUUGAUUAAUAAUCUUGCAAAAUACUAUGAAGCGUUUUCACGUAAUUUCCCUGUUUUAAUGAAAAGCUCCUAAAAUUUAAUUAUAUAUAUGUCCUUGUGAGAGUUUUACUUGUGUUUUGCUUUGUGUAGCUAUAUACCGGAUACUUUUGAUGGUAAAUUACUUGUAUCAAUUAAUAACUUAUCAAAGGGUAGGGGGUGUGCUGCGUGGAUAGGGGGUGUGCUGCGUUUAGCAACAUAAGCUAUAUAUUUUGUGCUUAGUUUUCCUAAUAUAAUUUUAAGCUCUCCUUUGUUGAUAGUUUGUCAUUUGUAGCUGUCCUUGUUCAUAUUUGUGUUAUAAGCUGUCCUUUCAACAGUUUGUGUCUUAAGAUGUAUUUGUUCACAGUUUGUGUUUUAGUUGUCUUGGUUGAAUGUGCGUAUUAGCUUUAAGUUGUCCUGGUGAACAGUUUUUUUAGUUAUUGUCUAAGCAGCUUUUAUCUCAUAAUCAUAAAGAAUAGAUUGCUUGGAAACACAACAGGUCCAAAUUGAAGAAUAUAGAUGGCAGAGUUUUUGAUCUACCUGCUGGUUCUAAAAUAUACAUAAACGAAAGCCUGUGUUCCUACUAUAAAAAUAUCUGGAACAAGUGCAAAAAACUAUGGCAACGGAAGCAGUUAAAGUCUUUCCGCGUAAGUAAUGGGACAGUUCAGAUUAAAAUUACUGAAUUUGGAGAUAUUACUCCAAUAACUGACAUCUAAGAUCUCAAAAACUUAUUCAAGGAAGUAGAUAUUGAAAUUAUCAAUAUCUACUUAAGUAAGUGAUAUUUUGGUAAUUGUAUAAACCCGUGACACGCCCCUUUUUUCGCGCCUUUUUUUUUCGCGCCUUUUUCCAGUUUUAUUGACUACCUGGUACAUUUUUGCCGUUUUGAAUUCCAACAAGUUCCUUCGCCUCAUCAUCAAUAAUGGCGUACUUGCUGCGACUUGUGUCUCAGUAUAUGAAUCUUCUUGUUUGCUUUGCAAUAUAAAUUUCUAUGAUCUUACUCUUUUUUUCUUUUGUCAGGUCCUUUGAUAUAUAGUUCAUUUUAGUUUUUCUAUUAUUGUACAUUAUGAUCUAUCCCAAGUGUAUAAUUAUGUGGUUUAGCUAGCUUUACCACUUUGUGUUUACAACUUUCUAGAAAGUUAGUCUGUGUCUCUUAACCUAACUAAAAGACACUGGUGUUAAAUUUCUAGAUAGAUUCUUUGUGUUAUUACUCUGCUCGUUUGUUUUGUUUUGUUGUUGUUUUUAGUUUUUUUUUAGUUUUGUCUUAAUUUUUAUAUUAUUAUUUUAUAUUAUAAGCUCCUAUAACCUAUAAAUGCCACAGUACCCUUGUGGUAUUUGUGGCAAUUCUGUAAGUUCUAAUCACAAAGCUGUACAAUGUGAUUAUUGUAACAAAUGGAUCCAUAAUCGUUGUAAUGGCCUUGCUAAUAGUGAUUAUAUCUCCCUACAAAAUUCCACUGAUUGUUGUGUUUAUAUAUAUAUAUUCUUGAAUCAAAAUUCAUUGUUUAUGUUAGUCCGUAAAAUGUAACUUGUCAUGUGUAGUGUUACCAUUUAUCGUUAUGCCUUGUUUAUUCAUUUCUUUACUCACUUGUCCAGUCCCGUGUCUCAUUGUCUCGUACGUCCCACUUGUAUUGUAUCAUUAUGUUUCAUCUUAGCUAUACGUAUUGUUUAAUUGUUAAUUGUUACUUGAUCGUGUCAUUAGGGAUUUCAUGUCAAUUACUUUAUAAUACGUUUUUUUUACAUUUUCAUUCAUUCCGUCAAAUCACAAAAACUGAGCAGUCACAAAAUAACUUUAUACAAAAAGCAUCAAACAAUUUGUUACACAUGUCAAACUUUCAAGAAACAUUUUAGCGUAAUUCAAUUUCAAGUCUAUCUGGUUUCACACUUGGGCAAUCUGGUACGAUUAUUUAAAAAUAUAUUUCAACUUAUUUUGUCAAACGUUUAUUAAAACUAAAUUUGUAUAUGUAUAUUUUUUAGUUUGAAUAACUUAACUUACCAUAUCAUCUCAGUUUUAAAAUUGUAUUCCGAGCAACCCGACCUUAAAACUGGAUAGACCCACAUUCAAACAGAACCAAUGUAAUCGAUGAGGAGGAGCAAAAGAUUGGACUACAAAACAUUAUCUGACACUGGCGAAAAAGUUACCAAAAUUACUACUACAACAGACUCGCAGAAUGAUAUCGAAAAUCUAAGCCUCUUGGUGGACAACUGGAAAUUGGAUGAAAAUAUGUCUGAAGAGGAAAAUAGGUCCCUGUUAAAGGACCACUUAGCUGUUGAAGAAUCUAUGCUAGUAAUGGAAAUUCAAGAUCUCUUCGAGGAAGAUAGUGUGAGUGAUUUAUAUCCAUCGAAUGAAAUAUAUGAAAAAGCUCUUUCGCAAGCACUAUCACUACGUGCUAAUUACAGACACAAGCAUGGAGAACUUCAAAAACACUUUGGAGAAGAUUAUGAAGGAAAGUAUGGAAAAUCGUUCACUCUUCAAUACAAAUCAAUCAGUGAAUAUAUUAAAGCGAUCAAGCAAAAGAAGAAAGAAUUACAGGUGGAAGAAGAGAAAGCCAUCCGAUUCUGCAAUGAAAGUUCAACAUUGUUUCUUAUCAAUGAAUCCGAUCGACUUAUUAAUGAUCUAAAGGAGAAAUUCCGCAUACCUGAAGAAGAAAGUGACAAAGCAAUCAAAAGGAGGUACGAUGAAUUAAUUUGUCAAGAGAAAAUAAUUCAAAAAAUAGGAGAGAAGAUCGAAAAAAUUUGUACUAAUACUCCUGAAAACUCACCUAUGAUAAGAGAUGUUAGAAAACUCAUGGACAGGUAUGAUAACCUUAAAUUUCUAAAGAGAGAGUAUAUUCAGAAAGUGGAACACGAGGUUAAUUCACGAGAAAUUGAGAAAGUUGAGUCAUUUAACACUUCUUCUUUAAAUAUCAAGCUUAUUAAAUUCAAGGACUAUAGCUCACCUCUUGAUAUCUACACAUUUCAAACUAUGUUUGAGAAACUCUACCUUAAAUCUACACCAAAACGCUUACUACCUGAUCUGUUAAGAAAUAAUUACCUUGAGAAUCCUGCUUUAAUGUUAGUUAGGAAUGUUGACGACAUUGAAGAGAUAUGGAAAAGACUCAUAGCAGCAUAUGGUGAUUGCAAAACCAUGCUAGCGAAAAAAUUACAUGAAGUGAGCAACAUGGAUUUAUUGUGGAAGCUAAGAGACCCGGAAAAGGUUACAAACGGAAUAGCGAAAAUUAUUACAGUCAUGAAGGAUCUGCUCUCAUUAUGCAAAAAGCAUGGUUUGGAAAAUAAUCUUUUCUAUGGAGAUGCACUAGAAAGAAUUUAUAAGCUGCUAGGAGAUAGUAGAGUAACAAGAUGGCUCGCGACAGAAUGUGAGGAAGAUGGUGAAAAUUUAUGGAAUAAAUUGAUUGAUUUUUUGGAAAAAGAUAUGAGAAUCUACCAACAAAAGAUACUGUUACUAGGAAAAGAAAGAAAACCUCCACAAGUCAAAGAAUCAAACUACUUCAAUAACAAUGACUUCGAUGACAAGGUAAUAUCAAAUUUGUCUUGUUUUAUAUGUGGAGAAAGAAAUCAUGUAGCUACUAAUGGACCUUCUGGAUCCAUGUUGAUACAGUACUUUGCCUGUAAGAAAUUUGUCGAUAUGUCACCCGCAGAUAGAUUUACUGUUUUAAGAAGAAAUGGUCUUUGCUUUCAGUGUCUAUUUCCAGGAGCUAAACAAAAGCAAGGAAAACAUCGAGAGGGGAAAUGCCAGAGAGAUUUCACAUGUAAACAUCAAUCACAUGACAAAUAUCCAUCUAAAAUGCACGUGUUGGUAUGUGAGGAGCACAAAGACACACCUGAGAAUAGGGACUUGCUUCAACACUAUAAGCAGAGAUGCAUCCUACGACAACGAUUUGAGCUUCCAGAUUUUUCAAAAAAUAUUCAACUGACCUUUCACUCCACAGCACACGGAAAUAAUGUUCAGUCAGAUGCAGUUGACGAAAGUGCAAUAUAUAUGCUUCAAACAAUAAAGGUAAAUGAUGAACCUUUUACCAUAUUUUAUGAUAGUGGAUGUGGAGAUUUCGUUUCUAGAUUUGAUGCUGUGAAGAGACUCAGAGAAAAUGCUACAAAAGAAGUUAAUGGACCAAUUAAGAUAGGUGGUGUUGGAGGUGUGAUGACAGAAUCACCAUUUGGAAUCUAUUCUGUUAAAUUACCCUUGAUAAAUGGGAAUGAUGCAAUUAUGACAGGAGUUUGUCUUCAACAGAUAACACCAGAGUUUCCUGAUUUUCCAUUGCAAGGAAAGGUGGAGACAGAUAUCAGUAAUGAAUACCGCAAAAAUCGAGGUAAUGUAAAUUAUUUACCUAAGUUACCAUCUUCAGUGGGCGGCCAUGUUGAUUUUAUGAUAGGCAUAAAAUACUUACGUUACUUCCCCGAAAAAGUCUUUCAAUUGCCAUCUGGUCUUACCAUAUAUAAGUCCUGCUUUAAGAACAGUGAUGGAAGUACAGGAGUCAUUGGUGGGCCUCAUCAAGUCUUCACUGAAAUAGAAAGGUACCAUCAUCUUAGCAAAACAUCCAAUUUUGUGGCCAUGCAAUACCCAUUAUUCAAAAACGGAUACCAAGUCAAUCCAGAUAUUUCUAUUAUUGGAUAUAAAAACCAUUCUUAUCAGUUUGAUUUAGAUUACGAUGAAAAAGAAGAUAAAAAUGACAAAGAAGUCAUGAUAUGCAACCGUCAACUCAAAAGUUUUGAGAAGGUAGAACACGCUGGAACCGAAAUCACUUACAGAUGUGUGCAAUGCAGAGACUGCAAAGUAUGUAAAAUGCAUGAUCGAGAUGACACUAUCAGCAUCAGAGAAGAAGUGGAACAGGAGAUGAUCGAAAAAUCAGUCACAUUAGAUAAAAUCAAUAAUUCAACUGUGGCAAGACUGCCAAUGACACACAAUCCAAUCGUCAAAUUGUGUCCAAACAAAUUCAAAGCAUUAAAGGUAUUCAAUCAACAAAUGAAAAAAUUAGCCAACACCCAGAAGGAUAAAGAUGACGUAAUCAAAUCAGAGAUGAAGCUGCACACUCUAGGCCACGUCGAAUAUGUCACAAAUCUUCCAAGAUCAAUUCAAAAAUCACUUGAAGAAGCUCAAAUUCAAAACUAUAUACCUUGGCGAACUGUUUGGAAAGUCAACUCGGUCACCACUCUUUGCCGCAUGGUAUUCGAUGCGUCUCAGCCUACUGAUACAGGUUUUAGUCUCAAUGAUAUCUUGGCAAAAGGGAGAAACAACAUGAACAAACUCGUAGAAAUAUUCAUCCGAUGGCGAAUUUACAAAUACGGAUUUCAUACUGACAUUCAGAAAAUGUAUAAUUCUGUAAAACUACAUCAAGAUGACUGGUGCUUUCAAAGAUAUCUCUGGAAGGAGAAUUUGGAUGACUCAAAACCACUCCAACAAAAAAUCAUCAAAACUUUGAUCUAUGGCGUCCGGUCUAGUGGUAAUCAAGCUGAAACUGGCUUAAAGAAAACAGCCAUGUUGUCCAAAGAAGAAUUUCCAGAAAUCAAGGAGAUCGUGUUUAGAGAUAUCUAUGUAGAUGAUUGUUUGUCUGGUGAACAUACUAAAGAAAAGUCAUUGGAAAGAGCAGAUCAAUUAGAACUGGUCUUAAAUCGCGGAGGCUUUAAGUUAAAAGGAGUAACGUUUUCUGGUUCAGAUCCUCACAAUUCGUUAUCAGAUGAUGGCAUCACAAUUUGUGUCGCUGGCUUACUAUGGCAUCCAAAAGACGAUUUAAUAUCGCUUGACAUAAAAGUUAUUAACUUUGCGAGAAAACAUAGAGGAAGAAAAACAGUUCAAAUCACAUCAAUACCAUCAACAUUAACCAGACGACAUUGUGCAUCAAAAGUCGCAGAGGUAUUUGAUCUCACAGGGAUGUUAACACCUAUCAUUGCUGGAAUGAAGCUUGAUUUACAUGAUUUGGUUGUCAAAAGGCUUAACUGGGAUGAUGCAAUACCAGAUAAUUUACGCCAGUUAUGGAUAUCACACUUUGAGAUGAUAUCAGAGAUGAAGAACCUGAAAUUCGAUCGAGCAAUCAUACCAGAAGACGCCCUAAGUCUAGACGUGGAAACACUUGCAUUUGGCGAUGCAAGUAAGUGUUUAAUUUGCAUUGCAAUUUAUGUGAGAUUUAAACGGAAAUGUGGAGGUUACUCUUGCCAAUUAGUUUUGUCAAAGUCAAGAUUAGUUCCUGAAGGUCUGUCCUUACCAAGAGCAGAGUUGUACGCCUCAUUAGUUAAUACUCAUUCAUCAGAGGUGGUAAGAAAAGCAUUUUACCAAUAUUAUAAAAGCAGCGUGAAAUUUACCGAUUCGCAAAUUGUCCUGUUUUGGAUUUGUAAUAAUAAUCGAUCUCUGAAACAAUGGGUGAGAAACCGUGUCAUUGACAUUCAAAGAUUUACCACGAUAGAAGAUUGGAGAUACAUCCAAUCAGAAAACAUGAUUGCAGAUCUUGGCACAAGAAGAGGUGUUAGCCUGAAAGAUGUUGACAAAGAUUCAAGAUGGUGCAACGGAUAUGACUGGAUGAGGUAUGAAAUUAGUCAAUUCCCAUGCAAAAGUAUCAAAGAUAUUACUCUUACCAAUUCUCAACAAGAGGAAAUAAGAAAAGAAAGUCCUUUUGAUUUUGACGGAUUAUCUUAUGUGCAGAGGAAAAUCCCCGAUGAAGUUUUUAAAAGAAGAGCAUUUUCUAAUUAUAUUAUCGAUCCCAACAAAUACCGUUUUAAAACCGUGAUUCGUAUACUAGCCAUUGUUUUCAAAUUUGUAUUUAAUGUGCGUAAAAGUAUUAUCAGUCAUAGACAAUCAUCAUUGCAAUCAAUAAAGAAACAACCGAUUACCACAAAAUCCACUCUGCUACUGUUAGAUGACGACAUUCGAAAAGCUGAGAAAUAUUUCUUCAGAAAAGCUGCUCUUGAAAUCCAGCAUUUUCUACCACGAAAACAGUACGAGAAAUUCACCAAGGAAAAGGAUGGCAUCCUGUAUUAUACUGGCCGUAUCUUGCCAACUGAAGAGAUAACUAUCGUGGGAAAGAUGACAGAAGCAAUGAAAGAUCUGUCAGCCAGCACAUUUUGUGUACCUGUGGUUGAUAGAUACUCCCCGUUAGCAUAUUGCAUAAUUAAUGAAGUUCACUGGUACAACAGCACAGUAAGGCACUCUGGUGUAGAAUCUGUAUGGAGAUUUGUGCUUAAGAAAGCAUUUAUAAUCGAAGGAAGAAGUAUUGUUAAAUGGAUUAGAGAAUCCUGUCAAAGGUGUCGUUAUCUUCAAAGGAAAAAUAUUGAAGUAGCAAUGGGACCAAUAUCAAGGUAUAAUGUUACUAUUGCACCAUGCUUUUAUAUUUCUCAAGUUGAUCUGUGUGGACCGUUUAGAGCAUACUCACAUCAUCACAAAAGAGCAACUAUCAAAAUUUGGUUGGUCGUGUUUUGCUGCAACACAACUUCUUGUACAGCAAUUAAGACAAUGGAGGAUUAUUCAUCAACUGCAUUUAUUCAAGCGUUUGUGCGAUUUUCUUGUGAAAAUGGCUAUCCAAAAUUGUUGCUAUCCGACGAAGGAAGUCAAAUUGUGAAAGCAUUUCACUCAAUGGAGCUUAAUUAUGUUGACAUCAAACACAACUUACACAAGGAUGUAUCAGUUGAAUAUGAAUUGUGCCCAGUAGGAGGUCAUAACAUUAAUGGCAGAGUAGAGAGAAAGAUAAGAGAAGUGAAAAAGUCGCUAGAAAUUUCGUUGACCAAUAGAAGAUUAUCUAUCAUGCAAUGGGAGACGAUUUCAGCAGAGAUUGCUAACAACAUCAACAAUUUACCACUAGCUUUGGGUAACAUAGUUUCCAGCUUUGAAUCUAUGGAUCUUCUUACACCAAAUCGUCUGAGGUUGGGUAGAAAUAAUGAGAGGAGUCCCGUUGGAAGUAUGAUUGUGACAAAUGAUCCAGAUCGAGUAUUUAAAGCAAAUCAAGAAGUGUUCAAUGCUUGGUUUGAAAAUUGGCUCCUGAGUCAUGUACCGAAAUUAAUGGCUCAACCAAAAUGGUAUAAAUCAGAUAAAAGUAUUCAAAAGGGUGAUAUUGUAUUGUUUCUGAAACAAGAUACCCCGUUAUGUUCAAAUUAUCAGUACGGUAUUGUCGAAGCAGUCGUGAUGGAUAAAGACGAAAAGAUACGUAAAGUCGAAAUUCGUUAUCGUAACCAUAAUGAAAAGGUCAAUCGAAUUACUCGUCGUGCAGUUCGUAGUUUGGUUGUAAUUCACCAUGUUGAUGAAUUAGAUAUAAUGGACGAACUUUCCAUGUUUCAACAAUGAAUGUUUGAUACUUCCGCUGGUGGAGUGUUGUGUUUAUAUAUAUAUAUUCUUGAAUCAAAAUUCAUUGUUUAUGUUAGUCCGUAAAAUGUAACUUGUCAUGUGUAGUGUUACCAUUUAUCGUUAUGCCUUGUUUAUUCAUUUCUUUACUCACUUGUCCAGUCCCGUGUCUCAUUGUCUCGUACGUCCCACUUGUAUUGUAUCAUUAUGUUUCAUCUUAGCUAUACGUAUUGUUUAAUUGUUAAUUGUUACUUGAUCGUGUCAUUAGGGAUUUCAUGUCAAUUACUUUAUAAUACGUUUUUUUUACAUUUUCAUUCAUUCCGUCAAAUCACAAAAACUGAGCAGUCACAAAAUAACUUUAUACAAAAAGCAUCAAACAAUUUGUUACACACGUCAAACUUUCAAGAAACAUUUUAGCGUAAUUCAAUUUCAAGUCUAUCUGGUUUCACACUUGGGCAAUCUGUUUGAAUAACUUAACUUACCAUAUCAUCUCAGUUUUAAAAUUGUAUUCCGAGCAACCCGACCUUAAAACUGGAUAGACCCACACUGAUGAUUGACACUGUAUCGAAUGUUGUCCCAAAAUUUUUCCUUUACUACGUGAAGAUGCCCCUUCUAAUAUUGACAAAAGUAUCCCAUCUC